RNAcentral lists this ribosomal RNA (301 nucleotides) under uncultured bacterium. Its description in RNAcentral is "partial 16S ribosomal RNA". It matches the Rfam family "Bacterial small subunit ribosomal RNA", at positions 509 to 807 of the family's 1533-position model. The record is from RNAcentral.
CAGCCGCCGCGGGAAAACAGAGGGUGCGAGCGUUAAUCGGAUUUACUGGGCGUAAAGCGUGCGUAGGCGGCUUCUUAAGUCGGAUGUGAAAUCCCUGAGCUUAACUUAGGAAUUGCAUUCGAUACUGGGAAGCUAGAGUAUGGGAGAGGAUGGUAGAAUUCCAGGUGUAGCGGUGAAAUGCGUAGAGAUCUGGAGGAAUACCGAUGGCGAAGGCAGCCAUCUGGCCUAAUACUGACGCUGAGGUACGAAAGCAUGGGGAGCAAACAGGAUUAGAUACCCGGGUAGUCCCUGUCUCUUAUAC